CAACAGGUACAUUGAUGUAGUACUUGUAUGGGCCCUUCCCAAUGAUGAGACUCCAUCGGGCAUCCCAAGUUCUUUCCCAUAGUCAUGUAUUCUCCUUAAAACCAGAAAAGCAAAGGUAUAGAUUAAAAAGGGCAAUGAUAAUGAAACGCAGACAAAAGACCAAAGUGACGAUUACAUACUUUAUGGUCAUGAGUGUACAAUACAUUUUAUUGAUAACUGAUCAGUUGGUAUAGAAAGAAAGCUCUUGGAAUCACCAAGUUAAAAGAAGAGGCUCAUCCAAUUUAGACUCUAACAACAACAUUGUAGAUGGUCAUAGCAUUAAACAGAGGUCCUGGAAACUGCCCAUUGACGGCUAUCAUCUGAAUAAAAAAACAAACUUUAUACAUAAAAACACCAAAUCCCAUGUAAAGCAAACUUUAUCUGAAUUAUACAUAUACGAAGCUAGCACCACAUCAAAAAAGCAAACUUUAUAUAUCCUAAAAGAACCAUUAACUUAAAAUACCUAAUCCCAUGUAAAGUCUCAAUCUUGAGAUUCUAUGGUAAUGGGUUUUAGAACACCAAAAGCGACCUCCUUUAGAAAUUCUCAGCCUCGGGUUAGAAGUUACACCGAAAUAGAACAAAACCCAUCACUGUCCAAAAUCCAAGAGACACUGAACAUCUUUCGAAUGACAGCGAGAAGGCCGUGAGAACGCUAUUAAGACACCAACUUCUAGGGAGAAAGUAAAGUAAGGAACAAAACCAAAAUCUGUUGAGGAACACCGAGAGAGGAAGCUGUGAUCUAAGAGACUUUGAAGUUGUAUAAUGAAUGACUCCAUGUUUCAGCCUCUCAUGGAUAGAACACGCUACUGUACUCUGUACGUCCUUGACCAUUCUUCAAAAUCCAUAGAAAGAAAAAACAGAUUAAAUCAUUUCCUUUGAACCGCAAAAAGUUCAGACGCAACAUUAGAAAGUAUGCAUAACAUAACAUUGUAAUAAAGCAUAUAAUAUAAUGUUCAAAUGAUUAAGUAGAAUUGCAUGUUCACGGAUCAGCAAAUAAAAAGCCUAAAAGAUUUGAAGGUGGAUGAAAUAGCACAUACAUCCAGUGAGCAUCUAACUACUACAGUAAACUAAACAUUGUUUGGGCUAGAUUAAUGUUUGUACAGGAUUCGGUCGAUUAGAAUGAUAACUUAGAAAAUGGGGGGACUAAAGACGUUUUUAUUAGAAUCAACACAGUGGGUUACAAGACUGAUCAAAGGUAAGGAGACAAGAUCAGAGGUUUAAACGACAAGAUCAAAGAGAUGAUUAGGAAACCCUAAAUCUAGCCGCUUGGUAUGUGAUUUGUCCAAAAGUCCCUCUUUCGUUGCCUCCUUCUUCCCUCUUAUAGUGCCCUUCUGCGUGGUGCCCUAAUCGCGCCUAUCCUUUGGGCCUUGUCGCCCAAAGGCCGAGUAUGUGGGCCUUAAUACUGUUUCAUCCAAGCCGAGUAUAGCUGAUCGGCUUAGCUGACCGGCUUAAAGUACUCUGAGGUCGAGCUGACGUCUCUAGCCGCUAAGCCGACUAAGCUUGAUCGACCUUGUCGGGCUAGGGCCUGUUAUGUGAUGGGCCUUGUGGAGGGAUGUAAUCCAUCUCCUACAAUAAGUCCCCCCCAGUUCACUUGUGAGCGGCUUGUCGGUCUCAGUGAAUUUGUGGGUCAGGUUCGUUCAUAUAACAGGGCCUAAUGCCGACGACAGCUCGUUUUACUGGUGUAUGGUUUUAGUCACGUGCCGCGUCUAGUCGCUCCGCGUUACGUCUUCUCACGAUGCGUUGUGUUUUACUCGGGAGGUAAACUCCUCGGAUUAGGAGUCCAGGCGGUCUUUGGAUGGUUAACUCUGUCGAAUUGGUUCGGGCUAGAACCGGAGAUUAAUUUCGGUCCGGUUUCUUGAUUGAAAACCGGUUUUGGCGAGAAACCGAACCGUCGCGAGUAGGUUUUUGGGCAUUUAGGCGGCCUUUGAAGCCCAUUUAGGCCUUUGUAGACCUAAUGAUGACGCUUCGAAGGAUGCGCCUCGUUUUUGCUAUAAAUAGGCGUCUCUCCUUCGCUUUCGUCAUUCUUCUCUGCAAGCUCAGGUAUUCCACUUUCUCUCCCUUCUCUCUACUUUUAUUUUCUCUCUCUAGAUAAGCCUUCCGUAGCAUAGGGUUUUUUGCUAGCGAUCUAGCUGGUUUAGUCGUCCCCCCGAGUAGAAGAGAUAUGGCUUCAGGGAAUCGGCUAUCGCGCGAGGAAAAAGGGAAAGAUAUAGCUACUUCGCCAAGCCCGGCUAGGGAUGCGGACGGGGGUCCGUUGGAGGAUUUCGACAUAAUCCAUCGUGAUGCUCUGCGGGAUACGGAGAACAUGAGCCUUUCCCAGCGCCUUCUGGUCGCUGAUGCCCAUAGACAGUUUCGCGAAGAAAUCGAAGAAAACGUUGAGGGCGAGGAUAGAGAGGCGAGUGGUUCUGAAGCGCCUAGCCUUGUCGUAAGACCUAGGAGACGGGCUCGUCGGAGGGGUUGUAUCGACCAGUCAGGCCGUCUCCCUGCUCCGAGAAGUGUUCCGUUCUACGAAGUAGACUGUCGUCCUGUGAUAUAUCACCCUGGUGGCAUUUUCGAAGAACUACCUUCGCUGCCUCCCGAAGCGUUACGCGACCCGCGAGUUCAGUCGUGGGGAAACGUUUUCAGUUCCUGUUCUUCCAACGAGACCGUGAAGAGAGUGCUAAGAGAGAGUGGUGGUGCUGGAGUCACCUUCCUCAUUCCGUCAAUCGAUCAGCGGCCGUGGUCGCCACCGGUUGGUUACCAGUGCGUGUAUGAAUCUUACUUCAAGGAUCAGACGAAGCUCUGGUUCCCAAUCCCCAGACUGAUCACGUCUUACGCAUUUCGUCGGGAUAUCGCCAUUUCUCAGCUGCUGAACGGGUCGCUGCGCAUAGCCGUCAUGUUGAUGGUUAUGGCAGCGGAGAUGGAUGUUUCGAUGAGCGUGAGGGUGUUUGAGGAGCUGACUUUCACGAAGGCGGAGCCUAACGGGAUCUUCUCGGUAAAGAUGAGAGCGAGUUACAACGUUUUGACUGGUCAUCCCAACAAGACGCAGGAUUGGCAACGCGCAUACUUCUUCAUUAAGUCCGACGAGCAUGCCUUCGAGGAGCCGCCGGGGGACGAUUAUCGCGUUUUAUGGAAUCAGCAAUUUGGUAGAAAUUUGUCUGUUUACUCGUAUUCUGGUCGAUGGUUCUGAUGUUCCCUUUUUCUUUUGCAGUUCGUCAUCCCAAUACAAUUGCCUAUCCAGAGAAAUUCUUCGAAACUGCUCAACUGAUCGCGACGCACAGUCAUCUCAGGUGGCCGGAUCUUAGUCGGGAGUGGAUACGUCGGCAACAAGCUAGGAUCGCUAGAGGUAAAGUUGCCGUUUACCCUAGAGAGAUGCUCUUGAACCUUUUUCAUAGUCUCCGUGUCUGAUUUCUCUUUCUUGUAUAGUUGAUUGGGAAUCGAGACUUCCUUGUGUACUCGGUCCCCGCAAAUCACGUCUCUCCCUAUUUACUCGGAAGCAACAAAAACUCCUUAACCAAGCUAAAAAGAUGGAGGGAGUUCCCGACUUAAGUGCCCUGUUGAAAGGGAAGCUUCAAAUGCUCUCGACGAAAUCGUCUUCUGCCGGUGCCUCAGAGGUCAGGCCUGUUCCCACAGAUGGAGAUGUGAACUCUGAGCCGCCAGCUCAGAGUUCCCCAAAGAAGAAGGCCAAUAGGGCCAAGGCCAAGAACAGGAAUGUCCCUUUGGAAGAGGCACCACCUUCUGCCGAUGUCUCUGAAGUCGCGGCUAAGAAGAAGAAGAAAAAGGAGAGCAAGAAAAGGUCUCGCGAAGAGACUUCUGUUGGGGCUAUGGAGACUCCAACUGCCGCAGGGAAUGAUGGUGCGGAAAGAAACGAUCCAGCCGAUUCUACUCGGGGAUCGCCUGAGGAGCGUCCCAAGAAGAAACUGAAGAAGAAGACAGCGGAAGGCGAUGGGACUUCUGCUCCCGAGAUUCCUUCUAGAAGUGGGGAACCAGCUACCGAAGUCGGAGAUGGCUCACGGGAUGAAUCUCCGUCGAGUAAGGGAGCCCCUUCGUCUUCUGCGAGGGAGACUGGUGCGGGAAGCGGAGGUUCGCUUCCGCGGAAGGCGGGAGGAGGAGUUCACUUCCCGGAUCGCGUAGAAUUCCUUUACGACGAGGCGACUCCGUUGGUUCUGAAUCCACUUCCGUGUGCUGAACUGACUCGUCAGAUUCGUGGCGGGACCAAAGAGUUGCCGCCGGUCGACGACUUAUACUUCAAAAAGGAGUACAUUGACGCGGCUAUGGCGGGCAGACGGGUAAACUCGUUUUCCCCUUAUUUCCCUUUCUCUUUCUUAAAAAUUUUUCUAAGUCUUUUUUGCUUCACGCAGAGUGACGGGAGCAUGAAUUAUCUCGUGGAGAAGUACGACAGCACUUUGAAGCAGACGAUGGUCCAGCUGGGCGCCUCGGAUAAACUCGCACGGACCAGAUUGGGCGUGAUCGAGAGGUUACGCGCCGAGAACAAAAAGGCCAGCGACAAAGCGGCCAAAGAGAAAGAGGUCCUCCGAGUUAAGUUCGAGGAGUUGGAAGACAAGCUGAAGUCUGACCGUCUUGCGAAGAAGGACGCUCUCCGCGAGAAAACUCGCUUAGAGCGAUUGGUCGCUUCCCUUGAGAAGGAGAAGGCUGAGCUCGAGGGAGAGAGGGACGCUGUCGUCGGAACGCUGGUCAAAGAGAGGCAACGCCUGAGGGAUUCCAGGGUUCAGGAGGUUACCCGCGAGAGGAUCAAGGUCCAAACGGCUAUGGCGGACAAGUCUACUCGCUGUAUCGGUAAGAUGAAGGGCUAUCUGGAUCGCCUUAUCGCGCGAGAGAAGGCCAAGAACUUAUAUGGGCAGGCUUCAGGAACCAAAAAAUGCCUUGAGAUGAUUAAAGAUAGCGGGAUCGCGAUUCCGCCGAGUAUGAUCAACAUCUUCUCGGAGCAGGAGAAGAUGUAUGAGGCUGAAGUCGCCAAUCUUUACCUCGAGCCGUUCUCUGAGGAUGAUUAUGCUCUCUCUCCUCUCAGCCUCCCUUCUCGAUUUGUGAAUGAAGAGCUCAUGGGGGUACUCGACCCGUAUGGAUCAAAUGUUGGUCUGAUUGGCCACGAAUCAGCCUCCCAGUUGAUCACUUCCCGCGAGGCGACUGAAGAUCCAGUCGAUGAGCCGAUGGUAGACAUUACUUCUGCUUUGUCGGAGCGUAUCGUCGUUCCCGAAGGAACUACCAUCGAAGAGCGCCCCGACGGGAGCGAUCCCGAGGAGACCGGGGAAGCGAUUCAAACGGAUACGGGGGAUGUAGCCGCUGAAGAUCCGGUCUUGGUUUCUUCAUCUGAGGAGCGGGAAGAGGACGGAGUGGGCGUGGAGGAGAACGGGUCAUCGCCGGCGCUUGUUGAAGAGAUGGUCCCGAACCUGCCAGUUCCAGACCCUUCUGCUCAGGUUGAAGGCCUUGGCGAUCAAGUCGUUGAAGAAGAAACGAUCGAAGCGCUUGACCCGAGUAGGGAUGACCAAGACGUUGUCGUCUGAUCUUGUUGUAUGUUAUAUUUAGGAUGCUUUCAUCGGUGGUCUUGAUAGACCUUGUUGUUGUACUUUAAAACUCUUUCUACUUUGUGUUUCUUGUCAGUAUUUGCAACCCUUAAGCGAUUUCACUUAUCUGUUGUGUUUUGAAACAUCAGAUUUUCAUAUUCUUAAUUUUUGCAAAUAGACAAGUGAUGAACCGGUAAUUGGUUUUACUCGGCUGUCAUCAUGUUUCGUUUUGGAGUUGUCCAAAAGUCGAUAACAAAGAAUUGAGUAUAAGAGUGAAAGGUCCUUCUGUCCGUUUCCUCAGUGACAAUUAAGCAAUCGGGUAGCUAGGCCGUUACAUUUUAGUCGAGAAAAGGCAAAGAUUCACUCUGUUUAGUCGGUUCAAUGCUUAGGCAUAGGUGAACCGUGACUGUUAAGGUCCUGGAGCCAAGUGUCUGAUCAGGACAUAGCUGCGAGCAAAGGAGUGUGAGUGUCCGCGUAUCCUCUGCUGGAGGCACGGGAACCACGAUGUGAAAGUCAUUGUUUAUUCAAUUGAGACCUAGGUAAGGUUUUGACUUUGUUUUUGUUACAGCUGGACCUGUUAAGGCUGCCUACGUACCUCGGUUGAGGAUCAAGCCAUUCGUAGUUCGUUUUUCCCGAGUAAAAGUGACUGUGAGUGGCGCAUUUACUCGGUCGAGUAGAAGUGACCAUGGGGGUGCAUCUACUCUGUUUUUGUUACAGCUGGACCUGUUAAGGCUGCCUACGUACCUCGGUUGAGGAUCAAGCCAUUCGUAGUUCGUUUUUCUCCCGAGUAAAAGUGGCCGUAAGUGGCGCAUUUACUCGGUCGAGUAGAAGUGACCACGGGGUGCAUCUACUCGGUUAUAUAUAUAUAUAUAUAUAUAUAUAUAUAUAUAUAUUUUUAUAUAUUUUUUUUUUUUUUUUUUUUUUUUUUUACUAAGAUACUUCUACGAGUAGAAACGUCGUAGAUGCAUUGAGUUCCAUGAUCGCGGGACUUCUUCUCCGCGCGAGGUUUGGAGCCGGUAUACGCCAGGUUUAACAACUUUGAUGAUUUUGUAUGGUCCUUCCCACCUGGCGCCGAGUUUACCGGCGUUAAGCUCUUUGGUGUUUUCAAACACUUUGCGCAUGACGAGAUCACCGAGUUCUAGAGGUCGGGCCCGGACCUUUUUGUUAUAGUAGCUCUCAAUCUGAUGUUGGUAAUUCUGGAUGCGCAGCAGGGCUUGAUCUCUCCGUUCUUCUAUCUCAUCGAGGGCGUCGAGUAGCAUCUCCUUGUUUAGCUCGACGUAUUGAGGCAUUUUGGAACGUCGGAGGCUUGAAACGUUAACUUCAGCAGGAGCCAUGGCUUCAACACCGUAAGCGAGAGAGAAGGGUGUCGAUUUAGUCGAUCCUCGUGGAGUCGUGCGAUGGCUCCAUAGGACUCCGUCGAGUUCGUCAGCCCAGUGACCUUUUUUGAGGUCUAGACGCUUUUUAAUGCCAUCGAUGAUGAGUUUGUUGGAGGAUUCGGCUUGGCCAUUACCUUGCGGGUAACGUGGAGUGGACGGGCUUAGUCGAAUGUUCCACUUGCUACAGAAUUCCUUAAAGUUGCCUGACAUGAACUGUGACCCGUUGUCGGUGACGAUCUCGUAGGGCAGUCCGUGGCGGCAAAUAAUGUUUUUCCAGACGAAGCCGCGGACUUCUUUGUCUGUGACUUGAGCGUAUGCUUCAGCUUCGAUCCAUUUGGUGAAGUAGUCGGUGAGGACGAGGAUGAAGCGUCUUUGGCGGGAACAAGGGAGUGGUCCUAUGAUGUCCAUCGCCCAUCGCAUGAACGGGUAGGGAGCGGUGGUUGUUCGCAACAGUUCGGUUGGACAAUGGAUGCUGGGUGCGUGCCGUUGGCACUUGUCGCAGCUUCUCGCAUAAGACUCACAAUCGGCGUUCAUUGUUGGCCAGAAGAAACCUAAACUCCUUACUUUUAUUGCUAACGCACGUCCGCCCGAAUGAUUUCCACCGGCGCCUUCAUGCGUUUCCGCCAUAACCCUUGCUGUCUCGUCGCCAUGGAUGCAUUUUAAGAGCACCUUACUCGCAGUCCAUCUAUGCAGUUCAUUGUCGAGAACAACGUAAUGGGCGCUGCGGGUUUUUAGCCGGCGAGCUGCCCAUUUUUCUGCUGGGAGUUCCCCUUUCGAGAGGUAGUUGAUGAAUUCAGUUCUCCAGUCAGGGCCAAACCCAUCGUCGUCUGGAGUGGCGGGUUCAAUGACUUGGGCGAUGAGGGUUUGAUCGGUUAGGACGUCGAUGCUUGGUUUCUCGAUACGAUGUAUCGGGAUGGUUCUUUUCACUUGAUCACGAAGCUUGCUGCCAAGGGCGGCGAGGGCAUCGGCGCAGACGUUCUCUCCUCUCGGAACUUUGAUGAGUUCGAAGAAUUCGAACUCUGCUGCCAGGCUUUGCACUAUUUUGAGAUAGGCGUCCAUUCGAUCGUUGCGGGCGUCGUAGUCGCCACUGAACUGACUGGCGACUAACUGGGAGUCGCAAUAAGCGCUUAGUCGUUUAGCUUUGACGGCUUUUGCUAAGCGGAGUCCUGCAAUCAGAGAUUCAUAUUCUGCCUCGUUGUUUGACGCGGGGAAGCCAAAGCUGAAAGAUUGUCUGAUUAGCUCACCGGUCGGGGACUGCAAUUGGACUCCGGCGCCUGCCCCCUUGUUGGUCGACGAUCCGUCGACGUGCAGUGUCCAGUUUGAGCUUGGGGAUGUGAGAUCUUGCUCUAAUUCCGGGGCCAGUUCGACCAAGAAGUCGGCUAGGACCUGGGAUUUCGCUGCCGUGCGGUUCUUGUAGAUGAUAUCGAGCUCGCCGAGUUCGAUAGCCCACUUUGUGAGUCUGCCAGAUCUGUUAGUGUUCUGGAGUAUUGUCCGGAGAGGCUGAUCAGUCAGUACUUCCACGGAGUGCGACUGGAAAUAUGGUCGUAGUUUUCGCGCUGCUUCAACGACUGCUAAAGCCAUCUUUUCUAGAGUUGGGUAACGCGUCUCUGGUGCUGUCAUGCGUCGGCUCGUAUAGAAGAUGGGCUUUUGCUCGCCGCGGUCUUCUUUUAUCAGAACGCUGCUGACUGCAGCCUGUGAUACUGCGACAUAGAGAGAUAGAACAUCACCGACGUCUGGCUUAGCGAGUACUGGGGGCGUGGUCAGGUACUGUUUGAGUUGAGUGAACGCUUCCUCGCACUUCUCAUCCCAAAUGAACUUUUUAUUUCCUCGCAGGAGAUCAUAGAAUGGCAGGCACUUGUCGGUGGAUCUGGAGAUGAAUCGAUUUAGAGCGGCUAUCCUGCCCGUGAGCCGCUGCACUUCUCUGCUGUUCUUCGGACUCGGGAGGUUUAGAACCGCAGAUAUUUGCUUUGGGUUCGCCUCGAUUCCUCGCUGUGUGACAAUGUAACCAAGGAACUCGCCAGAAGAGACCCCGAACGUGCACUUUGCUGGGUUUAGCUUCAUGCCAUACUUGUUGAGAGUUUCGAAGCAUUCUUGUAGAUGGCGGAGGUGAUCGGUGGCAUGGAGCGACUUAACCAGCAUAUCGUCGAUGUACACUUCCAUGGUGGUACCCAGCUUAUCUGCGAACAUUUUGUUCACAAGCCUUUGGUAGGUUGCUCCGGCGUUCUUCAGGCCGAAUGGCAUGACUUUGUAGCAAUAGGUUCCCCUAUCCGUGAUGAAGGCCGUCUUCUCGCGGUCAUCCGGGUGCAUCAUUAUUUGGUUGUAACCGGAGAAGGCAUCCAUGAAGGUUAGCAUCUCGUUUCCAGCUGUAGACUCGACUAAGCGGUCGAUGUUGGGAAGAGGGUAGCUAUCCUUUGGGCAGGCUUUGUUCAGGUCGGUGAAGUCGACGCAGACGCGCCACUUGCCGUUUUUCUUUUUGACGACUACUGGGUUUGCCAACCAUUCGGGGUAGCGGACCUCGGCAAUCGAACCUGCACCGAGUAACCUGUCGACUUCCUCGUUCACGGCCUUAGACCUAUCGGGGCCGAGCUUACGUCUCUUCUGUCGGAUAGGUUUGAAAGUUGGGUCGACAUUUAGCUCGUGCGUCGUUAUAGUUGGGUCAAUGCCUUUCAUGUCUGCCAUGGACCAAGCGAACGUGGAUACGUUCUGUCUGAGGAAAUCCAGAACUGACUGCUGCAUUUCUUCGGAGAGGUAUGCGCCAACUCUCACGGUGCGGCUCUGGUCGGCGUCAUCAAUAGGUAACUCGAGGACCUCGUUUUCCUGGGAGUAGACUUUUGGGGUUGGAGGGGACACUGAGUUCACGAGUAGCGACGCUCGUUGGAGUUUGACCGUGGCGACUAGGAGAUCCCUAGCGGCCUUUUGGUCCCCACGCAAUGUUUUUAUCUUCCCGUCCGCGCCGGAAAACUUGAUGCACUGAUGGUAGGUGGAAGGGACAGCUUGCAUCGAGUGUAACCAAGGAGUACCGAGUAUAGCGUGAUACGGAGCUUUUGUGCUAACGACGGCGAAUUUGACCGUUCGAGUAACACCGCAUGCACGCACCGGGAGGCGGAUCGUUCCCAAGAUGGUUUCGGAUGACCCGUUAAAUCCUGUUAGCGUUCUGGAGGACGCUUUUAUGUCGUCGAGGUCGACUCCCAUCUUCUGCAGAGUUCCUCGGAAGAUGAGGUCAACGGAACUCCCGGUGUCAAUAAGGAUCUUGGUGACAUCAUACUCUCCAAUUCCGAGGACGACGAGGAGGGGAUCAUUAUGGGGCGCGUGAACACCUUCAGCGUCAUCUGAUGAGAAGGUUAUUGGAGGAUGACUCGACGGUUUACUCGGCCACUUCUGGGACGUCGUGACUUGUCGACGAUAGUCUUUCACGGAACGGACUGAGUCGCCGCUAGGGAAACCCCCCAUGAUGACGUUUAAAGACUGUCCCGUUUGGACUCGCUUGGAGUUCAGUAAGGCGCGGAGGUCUUUUGGUACGCUGGUAUCAGGAGGUGGAAGUUGAGGUUGACCGUUAGCUCGUUCCAACUGUCGUCGUAAGUCUGUUGAUUUUGACUUGUUAAGCUUCACGCGGAGAUCGCUUACUCCGGCAUUGAGUUUGUCUCGGAGGUCGCCGACUGGCCCUUCGUUGUUGUUGCCAACACUUGUCGAGAUGCGCCGAGACUUUCGUGCAUCUAGCAUCGUCCGGAGAUCUCUGCGUGUGGUAUCGCUUCCAUUUUCCGGUGCGAGCCGCCGUUUAAGGCUGUCUCUUAGGUCUCCGGGUACAGGCGAAUCGUCAUUAUCUUCGUCGGACGACAAGGAUUGCUGAGAGAGUAUAACCUCAAUGCGUCUGCGAUUAGCCGGAUGCUCUUCGUCAGCUGAGGAGUCUCCCCCACCGUUAUCCCUUGGGGUAUCUUCCUCGUCGUCUCGUUGCGGAGCGUCGUUUUGUCGACCUCUGCCAGUGGCUUUGCGCUGGGACCUUCGUUCUUUGUUCUUGCUCCAGCUCUUACCGUUCUUUGGUUUGGCUUUCAAUGGCUCAAACUUAAACUCGCCGCUUGCAAGGGACGAGAGGUAAUGCGCGUAGAGAGAUUUUCAUUCUGAGGUAUCGUGUCCUUUGACGUCGUGAUACUUGCAAUGCUUGGUGAGGUCGACGGUCCGGGAAGGUCCUGCUGCUGAUCCGACUCCAGCUGCGGGUUGGGUGGUGCAAACAGAAUCGACUUUUUGGUCGGAUGACUCGAGUUCUCUUACCCACUUGUUCCACCCCUCCCCGCGAACUACGAGAGUGGAGAUUGGUGCGUUAUUCUCGUUCACGACAUACAUGUAACCAUCCUUGGGACCGUUUUUGUCGUUUGGAGCGUGCUGGCGCGGUUCUUGUCGCGCAUUUGCGUUCUUAGCCGCUGGAGCCUUGGGUGCGCUCAUCUUGCUGAGGAUUGCGUUGGUGUCCUCCUCCAUUCGGAUGAAGUUAUCGGAGCGUGCGAUAGCGUCUUGGAGCGACUUGGUUGGAUUCUGGUACAGGUCUUCUCGGAACUUGGAGUGGACCCACAAGGUGUUGCGCAAUGCAUCGAUAGCGAUUCCGUCUGGGAUCUCAAUCUUCGACACUACGGCUUUGAAUUUCUCCAUGUAGUCGCGCAAGCUCUGAUCCUUUUUCUGAUUGAGGUUCCAUAGGCUGGACGCGGUGGCGCUGCGCUUUGUGAACAUGAUGUAUGUCUUGAGAAAAGCUGCUGAUAGGUCGCGGAAACAUCCGAUUGAGUUCUCCUCCAACUGGGAGAACCAAGUCAGGGCUUGCUCGUGAAGAGUCUCGACGAACAGCUGGCAGUAUCCUGCGUCCCUUUCGUCGUCGGGGAGACGAGCUCGCGCCAUCGCGAUGUUAAAAGCGGUCAUAUGUUCUACCGGGUCUCCGCCGGGCUUGUACUCAGGUAGGGGCAGCUUUUCUAUCUUUCCGAGUUGGACGCUAGUUAGCGCGCGAGUAAAAGGAGUGCGCGAGGUUGCGGCGAGUACGCUCUCUAUUUGCGGAGCUGCGCUGGUUACAUGGUGGAUCUUCUCUCCCAUUUGUUGAAGGCUGAGUUUGAGCUCGGCGAGCUCGCGUAUUGUCGUGAGAUCUGAGCCUGCUGGGGGAGCGUCUGCGAGAAAGGCUUCGUUAGGCUCCGAGUCGUCAGAGAUAUGGUCGACUCCGGCUGCCGUAGGAUUUGUGUUGAAGAGGCGGCGGCGUGUCAGCUGGGGACGGCUCGUUUGUCCCUCAGGGGCUGUGAGCGCCGCGACCAACGCAGCGAGUUGGUCGUUGGUUGUCUUUUGGACUUCGUCUUGGCGGGCGAGUCGAGCCAUGACGGAGCUCAUGAAUUCUGAGGUGAUGGGCGGCGCGGCCGCAGGCGUAGGCGUCGGUUCCUCGCCUGGGGCGCCGAAGGCGGCGUCGUCUUGAGCCAUGUAGAUCUAGAACGUUGCUUUAGUCCGCCCCACGGUGGGCGCCAAUUGUUUGUACAGGAUUCGGUCGAUUAGAAUGAUAACUUAGAAAAUGGGGGGACUAAAGACGUUUUUAUUAGAAUCAACACAGUGGGUUACAAGACUGAUCAAAGGUAAGGAGACAAGAUCAGAGGUUUAAACGACAAGAUCAAAGAGAUGAUUAGGAAACCCUAAAUCUAGCCGCUUGGUAUGUGAUUUGUCCAAAAGUCCCUCUUUCGUUGCCUCCUUCUUCCCUCUUAUAGUGCCCUUCUGCGUGGUGCCCUAAUCGCGCCUAUCCUUUGGGCCUUGUCGCCCAAAGGCCGAGUAUGUGGGCCUUAAUACUGUUUCAUCCAAGCCGAGUAUAGCUGAUCGGCUUAGCUGACCGGCUUAAAGUACUCUGAGGUCGAGCUGACGUCUCUAGCCGCUAAGCCGACUAAGCUUGAUCGACCUUGUCGGGCUAGGGCCUGUUAUGUGAUGGGCCUUGUGGAGGGAUGUAAUCCAUCUCCUACAAUUAAGAGGAUGAUGUUCAAGGAAAGAAAGCUUACCUUUUUAUAGUCGCAGUUUCACCGCCUUUCAUGGGGGAAGCUCGCAUUCAAGGUAGAUCGUGGGUGGGUGAAGGAUUUAAUAAGGACUUUAAGAAGAUGCAAAGUAACUGGUAGCUUUCAGAUUUUAAGGAAGAAGAUGAAGCAACGAUCUCAGAACUCGAUUGUUCUCUAUCUCGAACGGCGGAGAUGAAAGCAGGCAAAAACCUAAUAUCAAAACAACGCUAGAACAGGUUUACAGUUAGAGAUACUG
RNAcentral lists this long non-coding RNA (13162 nucleotides) under Brassica rapa (field mustard). RNAcentral's name for it is "long non-coding RNA (BRAP_LNC002742)". The record is from RNAcentral. Lineage: Eukaryota; Viridiplantae; Streptophyta; Magnoliopsida; Brassicales; Brassicaceae.